Molecule: ribosomal RNA, 253 nt
Filed under: uncultured bacterium
Lineage: Bacteria
Description: partial 16S ribosomal RNA
Rfam family: Bacterial small subunit ribosomal RNA
Source: RNAcentral
CACGUAGGGCGCAAGCGUUGUCCGGAAUUAUUGGGCGUAAAGAGCUCGUAGGCGGUCUGUUGCGUCCGCUGUGAAAACUCGGGGCUUAACCCCGAGCCUGCAGUGGAUACGGGCAGACUAGAGGUAGGUAGGGGAGAAUGGAAUUCCCGGUGUAGCGGUGAAAUGCGCAGAUAUCGGGAGGGACACCGGUGGCGAAGGCGGUUCUCUGGGCCUUACCUGACGCUGAGGAGCGAAAGCGUGGGGAGCGAACAGG